GCAGACGACUCACCCUGGGCCGGGGGUGAGGCUUGGACUGUUUCUUUUUCCAAAAGAGGAGCUCAAAAGAGAAAGUUCAUCUAGAAAUCUCAAAGCCAUGUCUCAGGUGAGAUGAUGUUUCCUCUCUUUCUGAAAUAACUUUUUUUCAUGGUGUAUGAACGUGAGCUUCCCUGUCCUUUAACCUUCCCUGAUGAUUUGCUUCCAUGAAAUUAGUCUUCAGUCAGGGCCAGAUUAGGAUGAGGCAGGCAAGUGGCAUGAGGUGAAAUAUUUAAGGGGUACCCUCAGGGCUGUGCCCUCCUAAAUUUUGCAUUCUAGGUGCCUCACCUGCCUCACCCUAUAUCCAGCCCUGUUCACAAUUUCUCCAUUCCAACCAGAUCAACUUAAGCCUUCCCCAAGUGUACCUUCUGGUUGUACAUAUUCAUUGGGUACGUCAUUCAUCAUCUCCUUUCUCAGUCUUCUCACAAACUGCUGAAUAGAAAGGUAUUGUCUUGAUUUAAAUGAGAAUAUAUGGCUUGAAUGAAUUUAACUUGUCCUGAUGCUGAUUUGAGAUCUAAGCUGUGAGAAGU
RNAcentral lists this small RNA (566 nucleotides) under Pongo abelii (Sumatran orangutan). Its description in RNAcentral is "retained intron". The record is from RNAcentral. Lineage: Eukaryota; Metazoa; Chordata; Mammalia; Primates; Hominidae.